This 2672-nucleotide ribosomal RNA is filed under the name Staphylococcus aureus. Its description in RNAcentral is "partial 23S ribosomal RNA". It matches the Rfam family "Bacterial large subunit ribosomal RNA". The record is from RNAcentral. Lineage: Bacteria; Bacillati; Bacillota; Bacilli; Caryophanales; Staphylococcaceae.
UUCGAUUCCCUUAGUAGCGGCGAGCGAAACGGGAAGAGCCCAAACCAACAAGCUUGCUUGUUGGGGUUGUAGGACACUCUAUACGGAGUUACAAAGGACGACAUUAGACGAAUCAUCUGGAAAGAUGAAUCAAAGAAGGUAAUAAUCCUGUAGUCGAAAAUGUUGUCUCUCUUGAGUGGAUCCUGAGUACGACGGAGCACGUGAAAUUCCGUCGGAAUCUGGGAGGACCAUCUCCUAAGGCUAAAUACUCUCUAGUGACCGAUAGUGAACCAGUACCGUGAGGGAAAGGUGAAAAGCACCCCGGAAGGGGAGUGAAAUAGAACCUGAAACCGUGUGCUUACAAGUAGUCAGAGCCCGUUAAUGGGUGAUGGCGUGCCUUUUGUAGAAUGAACCGGCGAGUUACGAUUUGAUGCAAGGUUAAGCAGUAAAUGUGGAGCCGUAGCGAAAGCGAGUCUGAAUAGGGCGUUUAGUAUUUGGUCGUAGACCCGAAACCAGGUGAUCUACCCUUGGUCAGGUUGAAGUUCAGGUAACACUGAAUGGAGGACCGAACCGACUUACGUUGAAAAGUGAGCGGAUGAACUGAGGGUAGCGGAGAAAUUCCAAUCGAACCUGGAGAUAGCUGGUUCUCUCCGAAAUAGCUUUAGGGCUAGCCUCAAGUGAUGAUUAUUGGAGGUAGAGCACUGUUUGGACGAGGGGCCCCUCUCGGGUUACCGAAUUCAGACAAACUCCGAAUGCCAAUUAAUUUAACUUGGGAGUCAGAACAUGGGUGAUAAGGUCCGUGUUCGAAAGGGAAACAGCCCAGACCACCAGCUAAGGUCCCAAAAUAUAUGUUAAGUGGAAAAGGAUGUGGCGUUGCCCAGACAACUAGGAUGUUGGCUUAGAAGCAGCCAUCAUUUAAAGAGUGCGUAAUAGCUCACUAGUCGAGUGACACUGCGCCGAAAAUGUACCGGGGCUAAACAUAUUACCGAAGCUGUGGAUUGUCCUUUGGACAAUGGUAGGAGAGCGUUCUAAGGGCGUUGAAGCAUGAUCGUAAGGACAUGUGGAGCGCUUAGAAGUGAGAAUGCCGGUGUGAGUAGCGAAAGACGGGUGAGAAUCCCGUCCACCGAUUGACUAAGGUUUCCAGAGGAAGGCUCGUCCGCUCUGGGUUAGUCGGGUCCUAAGCUGAGGCCGACAGGCGUAGGCGAUGGAUAACAGGUUGAUAUUCCUGUACCACCUAUAAUCGUUUUAAUCGAUGGGGGGACGCAGUAGGAUAGGCGAAGCGUGCGAUUGGAUUGCACGUCUAAGCAGUAAGGCUGAGUAUUAGGCAAAUCCGGUACUCAUUAAGGCUGAGCUGUGAUGGGGAGAAGACAUUGUGUCUUCGAGUCGUUGAUUUCACACUGCCGAGAAAAGCCUCUAGAUAGAAAAUAGGUGCCCGUACCGCAAACCGACACAGGUAGUCAAGAUGAGAAUUCUAAGGUGAGCGAGCGAACUCUCGUUAAGGAACUCGGCAAAAUGACCCCGUAACUUCGGGAGAAGGGGUGCUCUUUAGGGUUAACGCCCAGAAGAGCCGCAGUGAAUAGGCCCAAGCGACUGUUUAUCAAAAACACAGGUCUCUGCUAAACCGUAAGGUGAUGUAUAGGGGCUGACGCCUGCCCGGUGCUGGAAGGUUAAGAGGAGUGGUUAGCUUCUGCGAAGCUACGAAUCGAAGCCCCAGUAAACGGCGGCCGUAACUAUAACGGUCCUAAGGUAGCGAAAUUCCUUGUCGGGUAAGUUCCGACCCGCACGAAAGGCGUAACGAUUUGGGCACUGUCUCAACGAGAGACUCGGUGAAAUCAUAGUACCUGUGAAGAUGCAGGUUACCCGCGACAGGACGGAAAGACCCCGUGGAGCUUUACUGUAGCCUGAUAUUGAAAUUCGGCACAGCUUGUACAGGAUAGGUAGGAGCCUUUGAAACGUGAGCGCUAGCUUACGUGGAGGCGCUGGUGGGAUACUACCCUAGCUGUGUUGGCUUUCUAACCCGCACCACUUAUCGUGGUGGGAGACAGUGUCAGGCGGGCAGUUUGACUGGGGCGGUCGCCUCCUAAAAGGUAACGGAGGCGCUCAAAGGUUCCCUCAGAAUGGUUGGAAAUCAUUCAUAGAGUGUAAAGGCAUAAGGGAGCUUGACUGCGAGACCUACAAGUCGAGCAGGGUCGAAAGACGGACUUAGUGAUCCGGUGGUUCCGCAUGGAAGGGCCAUCGCUCAACGGAUAAAAGCUACCCCGGGGAUAACAGGCUUAUCUCCCCCAAGAGUUCACAUCGACGGGGAGGUUUGGCACCUCGAUGUCGGCUCAUCGCAUCCUGGGGCUGUAGUCGGUCCCAAGGGUUGGGCUGUUCGCCCAUUAAAGCGGUACGCGAGCUGGGUUCAGAACGUCGUGAGACAGUUCGGUCCCUAUCCGUCGUGGGCGUAGGAAAUUUGAGAGGAGCUGUCCUUAGUACGAGAGGACCGGGAUGGACAUACCUCUGGUGUACCAGUUGUCGUGCCAACGGCAUAGCUGGGUAGCUAUGUGUGGACGGGAUAAGUGCUGAAAGCAUCUAAGCAUGAAGCCCCCCUCAAGAUGAGAUUUCCCAACUUCGGUUAUAAGAUCCCUCAAAGAUGAUGAGGUUAAUAGGUUCGAGGUGGAAGCAUGGUGACAUGUGGAGCUGACGAAUACUAA